Molecule: ribosomal RNA, 694 nt
Filed under: uncultured Nitrospira sp.
Lineage: Bacteria; Pseudomonadati; Nitrospirota; Nitrospiria; Nitrospirales; Nitrospiraceae
Description: bacterial SSU rRNA
Rfam family: Bacterial small subunit ribosomal RNA
Source: RNAcentral
AGUCCAACGUGAAAGGGGAGCAAUCCCCCGGUAGGGUGGCAAACGGGUGAGUAAGACAUGGGUGAUCUACCUUAGGGAUGGGGAUAUCCUUCCGAAAGGAGGGGCAAUACCGAAUAUUGUCCGGGACCAUGAAGGGUUCCGGGGAAAGGGAGGCCUCUGAUACAAGCUUUCGCCUUAAGAUGAGCCCAUGGCCCAUCAGCUAGUUGGUAGGGUAAAGGCCUACCAAGGCUACGACGGGUCGCUGGUCUGAGAGGACGACCAGCCACACUGGCACUGAGAUACGGGCCAGACUCCUACGGGAGGCAGCAGUGAGGAAUAUUGCGCAAUGGGGGAAACCCUGACGCAGCAACGCCGCGUGUGGGAAGAAGGCCUUCGGGUCGUAAACCACUUUUACUCGGGACGAAAAAGGGAUAUCAAAUAAAUAUCCCCGAUGACGGUACCGUGAGAAUAAGCCACGGCUAACUCUGUGCCAGCAGCCGCGGUAAGACAGAGGUGGCAAGCGUUGUUCGGAAUUACUGGGCGUAAAGAGUCUGUAGGUGGUUUGUCAAGUCUUUGGUGAAAGGCCGUAGCUUAACUAUGGGAAUGCCAAAGAGACUGGCAGGCUGGAGGCUGGGAGAGGGAAGCGGAAUUUCUGGUGUAGCGGUGAAAUGCGUAGAUAUCAGAAGGAAGGCCGGUGGCGAAGGCGGCUUCCUGG